Molecule: ribosomal RNA, 443 nt
Filed under: uncultured bacterium
Lineage: Bacteria
Description: partial 16S ribosomal RNA
Rfam family: Bacterial small subunit ribosomal RNA
Source: RNAcentral
CCUACGGGGGGCAGCAGUGGGGAAUAUUGCACAAUGGGGGAAACCCUGAUGCAGCAACGCCGCGUGAGUGAAGAAGGUUUUCGGAUUGUAAAGCUCUGUUAGCAGGGAAGAAAGAAAUGACGGUACCUGAGUAAGAAGCCCCGGCUAACUACGUGCCAGCAGCCGCGGUAAUACGUAGGGGGCAAGCGUUAUCCGGAAUUACUGGGUGUAAAGGGAGCGUAGACGGUAAUGCAAGUCUGGAGUGAAAGGCGGGGGCCAAACCCCCGGACUGCUCUGGAAACUGGGUAACUGGAGUGCAGGAGAGGCAGGCGGAAUUCCUAGUGUAGCGGUGAAAUGCGUAGAUAUUAGGAGGAACACCAGUGGCGAAGGCGGCCUGCUGGACUGUAACUGACGUUGAGGCUCGAAAGCGUGGGGAGCAAACAGGAUUAGAUACCCCAGUAGUC